This 237-nucleotide ribosomal RNA is filed under the name uncultured bacterium. Its description in RNAcentral is "partial 16S ribosomal RNA". It matches the Rfam family "Bacterial small subunit ribosomal RNA", at positions 15 to 229 of the family's 1533-position model. The record is from RNAcentral.
GAUCAUGGCUCAGGACGAACGCUGGCGGCGUGCUUAACACAUGCAAGUCGAACGGAGAGAUGAGGGAGCUUGCUCCUUUAGAUCUUAGUGGCGAACGGGUGAGUAACGCGUAAUCAACCUGCCCUUUUGUGGGGGACAACAGAUGGAAACGUCUGCUAAUACCGCAUACGUUCCUGUGGUCGCAUGACUAUAGGAAGAAAGGUGGCCUCUAUUUAUAAGCUAUCGCAAAAGGAGGGG